GAAGCAUGAUCGUAAGGACAUGUGGAGCGCUUAGAAGUGAGAAUGCCGGUGUGAGUAGCGAAAGACGGGUGAGAAUCCCGUCCACCGAUUGACUAAGGUUUCCAGAGGAAGGCUCGUCCGCUCUGGGUUAGUCGGGUCCUAAGCUGAGGCCGACAGGCGUAGGCGAUGGAUAACAGGUUGAUAUUCCUGUACCACCUAUAAUCGUUUUAAUCGAUGGGGGGACGCAGUAGGAUAGGCGAAGCGUGCGAUUGGAUUGCACGUCUAAGCAGUAAGGCUGAGUAUUAGGCAAAUCCGGUACUCGUUAAGGCUGAGCUGUGAUGGGGAGAAGACAUUGAGUCUUCGAGUCGUUGAUUUCACACUGCCGAGAAAAGCCUCUAGAUAGAAAAUAGGUGCCCGUACCGCAAACCGACACAGGUAGUCAAGAUGAGAAUUCUAAGGUGAGCGAGCGAACUCUCGUUAAGGAACUCGGCAAAAUGACCCCGUAACUUCGGGAGAAGGGGUGCUCUUU
This 508-nucleotide ribosomal RNA is filed under the name Streptomyces malaysiensis subsp. malaysiensis. RNAcentral's name for it is "partial 23S ribosomal RNA". It matches the Rfam family "Bacterial large subunit ribosomal RNA", at positions 1252 to 1756 of the family's 2925-position model. Lineage: Bacteria; Bacillati; Actinomycetota; Actinomycetes; Kitasatosporales; Streptomycetaceae. The record is from RNAcentral.